UACGGGGGGAGCAAGCGUUGUUCGGAUUUACUGGGCGUAAAGGGCGCGUAGGCGGUCGUGACAAGUCACUUGUGAAAUCUCCGGGCUUAACUCGGAACGGUCAAGUGAUACUGUCGGACUAGAGUACAGAAGGGGCAACUGGAAUUCUCGGUGUAGCGGUGAAAUGCGUAGAUAUUAUCAGGAACACCAAUGGCGAAGGCGGCUCACUGGCCCGAUACUGACGCUGAGGCACGAAAGCGUGGGGAGCAAACAGG
Molecule: ribosomal RNA, 254 nt
Filed under: uncultured bacterium
Lineage: Bacteria
Description: partial 16S ribosomal RNA
Rfam family: Bacterial small subunit ribosomal RNA
Source: RNAcentral